UACGUAGGGAGCGAGCGUUGUCCGGAAUUACUGGGUGUAAAGGGAGCGUAGGCGGGGAUGCAAGUUGGGUGUCAAAGCUACCGGCUCAACUGGUAGUCGCACUCAAAACUGCAGCUCUUGAGUGAAGUAGAGGCAGGCGGAAUUCCUAGUGUAGCGGUGAAAUGCGUAGAUAUUAGGAGGAACACCAGUGGCGAAGGCGGCCUGCUGGGCUUUUACUGACGCUGAGGCUCGAAAGUGUGGGGAGCAAACAGG
This 252-nucleotide ribosomal RNA is filed under the name uncultured bacterium. RNAcentral describes it as "partial 16S ribosomal RNA". It matches the Rfam family "Bacterial small subunit ribosomal RNA", at positions 524 to 776 of the family's 1533-position model. The record is from RNAcentral.